UACGAAGGGGGCUAGCGUUGCUCGGAAUCACUGGGCGUAAAGGGCGCGUAGGCGGCCAUUCAAGUCAGAGGUGAAAGCCCAAGGCUCAACCUUGGAACUGCCUUUGAUACUGUUUGGCUUGAGACCGGUAGAGGUAAGUGGAACUGCGAGUGUAGAGGUGAAAUUCGUAGAUAUUCGCAAGAACACCAACGGCGAAGGCAGCUCGCUAGGACGGUACUGACGCUGAGACGCGAAAGCGUGGGGAGCGAACAGG
RNAcentral lists this ribosomal RNA (253 nucleotides) under uncultured bacterium. RNAcentral describes it as "partial 16S ribosomal RNA". It matches the Rfam family "Bacterial small subunit ribosomal RNA", at positions 524 to 776 of the family's 1533-position model. The record is from RNAcentral.